AGAGUUUGAUCCUGGCUCAGGAUGAACGCUGGCGGCGUGCCUAACACAUGCAAGUCGAACGUUAGGGGGUAGCAAUACUCCUGAAAGUGGCGAACGGGUGAGUAACACGUGGGUAAUCUGCCGCGCAGAGGGGGAUAACGACUGGAAACGGUCGCUAACACCGCAUGGUACUAUCUGAACGGGAGUUUGGAUGGUUAAAACCUGGGUAACACCAUGAUGCUGCGCGAGGAGCCCGCGUCCGAUUAGUUAGUUGGUGAGGUAAAGGCUCACCAAGGCGAUGAUCGGUAGCUGGUCUGAGAGGAUGAUCAGUCACACGGGAACUGAGACACGGUCCCGACUCCUACGGGGGGCAGCAGUGAGGAAUAUUGCACAAUGGACGCAAGUCUGAUGCAGCAACGCCGCGUGGAGGAUGAAGGUUUUCGGAUCGUAAACUCCUUUUCUCAGGGAAGAGAACGGACGGUACCUGAGGAAUAAGUCACGGCUAACUACGUGCCAGCAGCCGCGGUAAUACGUAGGUGGCGAGCGUUAUCCGGAAUUACUGGGCGUAAAGCGCACGCAGGUGGUUUUUUAAGUUUGACGUGAAAGCUCCUGGCUUAACUGGGAGAGGUCGUUGAAUACUGGGAAACUUGAGGCAAUGAGAGGGAUGUAGAAUUCACGGUGUAGUGGUGGAAUGCGUAGAUAUCGUGAGGAAUACCAGUGGCGAAAGCGGCAUCCUGGCAUUAGCCUGACACUCAUGUGCGAAAGCGUGGGGAGCGAACGGGAUUAGAUACCCCGGUAGUCCACGCCGUAAACGAUGAACACUAGGUGUAGGUGGUGUGAAAACCGUCUGUGCCGAAGCUAACGCGUUAAGUGUCC
RNAcentral lists this ribosomal RNA (855 nucleotides) under uncultured Chloroflexota bacterium. RNAcentral's name for it is "bacterial SSU rRNA". It matches the Rfam family "Bacterial small subunit ribosomal RNA", at positions 8 to 869 of the family's 1533-position model. The record is from RNAcentral. Lineage: Bacteria; Bacillati; Chloroflexota.